ACAGACAAGGACACUAAGUCGGAAACAAGGUCUCGACCUCAACUAGCUAGAUUUUCUUCAAUGGAAUCCUUCAAACAAGUAGAAAACCGUUCUUCCAAACAGAAGAAAAAACUUGAAUUUAACAGCAGCCGAGUGUCACCUAUUCCAAAUGGUACCUCUCAGUGGGGAGCUCUCAACAUUUCCAAGUGUCACCUAUUCCAAAUGGUAACUCUCAGUGGGGGGCUCUCACCAUUUCCAAAUCUUUUAAUCCAGUAUUUGGCUCGUCCAAGAAAUUCUUUUCAGCUUCAGUUCCUGGAUCAAGAAUUGUUUCUCGAGCAACAUCACCAAUAUCU
RNAcentral lists this long non-coding RNA (332 nucleotides) under Nicotiana benthamiana. Its description in RNAcentral is "long non-coding RNA (NBEN_LNC003218)". The record is from RNAcentral. Lineage: Eukaryota; Viridiplantae; Streptophyta; Magnoliopsida; Solanales; Solanaceae.